Molecule: small RNA, 690 nt
Filed under: Pongo abelii (Sumatran orangutan)
Lineage: Eukaryota; Metazoa; Chordata; Mammalia; Primates; Hominidae
Description: processed transcript
Source: RNAcentral
CUUAAAGGAGCAUGAGUAUCGCCUCCUGGCCCGCCUUGAGGAGCUAGACUUGGCCAUCUACAAUAGCAUCAAUGGUGCCAUCACCCAGUUCUCUUGCAACAUCUCCCACCUCAGCAGCCUGAUCGCUCAGCUAGAAGAGAAGCAGCAGCAGCCCACCAGGGAGCUCCUGCAGAAUUUUUUUUAAACAGAUGGAGCAUGAAACUGAAGGUGGAUGAUGAGGAAAGUAGAGAAAGAAAGAAGUCAUGGACUCAGUAAGGGAGGAGGGGCUCCAUGAAUAUCAAAAAGUGUUUAUGUUGGAAGUCACUGGAAAAGCAGGAUAAAUAUUACUUAAUGGGGCAAUACUGGAGGCAUUCCCAUUGAAGUCAGAAACAGGCCGGAUGCCCAGUAUCAUUUAUCUCUAUUUAACACUGCAUUAAAGGUUGUAACCAGUUCAGUUAAAUAAAAUAAUUAUAGGUAUACAAAUUGGGAAAGAAGUUAACAUACAGAAAUCAGCAGCCUUCAUAUGCCAGAUAGCAGCCACUAGAAGACAUAUUAGAAGAGAACAUGCUGUUUCCAUUUGCAAAAAAAAAAAAAACAAGUGAUAAAAUAUCUGGAAAUAAGUUUAUAAGAAAUAUACAAAAACCUAUGUGGAGAAAAUUAUAAAACAUUCAAACAUCCCUGAAAGACACAAAAUAAACUUGAACAAAUAAA